AUUGUGGUAGCCCCCAAAAUAUUGGGACAUAUAAAAAAAAGACAACUGUUCCGCAGAGUAGCUGUUGACAUUAUAGUUGUGCAGGAACUUUGUUGACUCUAGAGAACCUCAGGCAAAUCGCACAUUCCCGUGGCGGCGACUUUGCAUGCGGAUGUCAUCCAUAUCAACUUUCGAUGCCAGUUUCUGCGCCUACCAUGGUGACCAUGGGUAACAGGGAAUUAGCAUUCCAUACAGGGACCCUGAGAAUCGGCUACCACAUGCAAGGAAGGCAGCAGGCGCAAAUGACCCACUCCCAACACGGGAAGGCAGUGACGAU
This is a non-coding RNA of Pelobates cultripes (western spadefoot toad), 316 nucleotides long. Lineage: Eukaryota; Metazoa; Chordata; Amphibia; Anura; Pelobatidae. The record is from the annotation of a GenBank genome assembly.